AGCAGCCGCGGUAAUUCCAGCUCCAAUAGCGUAUAUUAAAGUUGUUGCAGUUAAAAAGCUCGUAGUUGAAUUUCGGGAUCAAUACGUCGGUCGUGCCUCUGGUAUGUACUGGUGUUAUUGAUUUCUCCCUUCUGAUGAAUCAUGAUGUCAUUAAUUUGGUGUUGUGUGGAGUCAGGACUGUUACUUUGAAAAAUUAGAGUGUUUAAAGCAGGCUUACGCCUGAAUACAUUAGCAUGGAAUAAUGAAAUAGGACGUUCGAUCCUAUUUUGUUGGUUUCUAGGAUCAACGUAAUGAUUAAUAGGGAUAGUUGGGGGCAUUAGUAUUCAAUUGUCAGAGGUGAAAUUCUUGGAUUUAUUGAAGACUAACUACUGCGAAAGCAUUUGCCAAGGAUGUUUUCAUUAAUCAAGAACGAAAGUUAGGGGAUCGAAGACGAUCAGAUACCGUCGUAGU
Molecule: ribosomal RNA, 450 nt
Filed under: uncultured Glomeromycotina
Lineage: Eukaryota; Fungi; Glomeromycota
Description: SSU rRNA
Rfam family: Eukaryotic small subunit ribosomal RNA
Source: RNAcentral